GUGUGCCGAAAAGCACACACAUAUAAUAAUGCGAAGUUUUGUACUCAUAAGUGCAAAACUCGGCAGAUAAACAGUGAAGCUGAAUUUCUGCUGAACUGUUUAUCAUAC
This 108-nucleotide small RNA is filed under the name Treponema denticola ATCC 35405. RNAcentral's name for it is "TD-2 RNA". It matches the Rfam family "TD-2 RNA". From Rfam's summary of the family: non coding RNA found in Treponema denticola Lineage: Bacteria; Pseudomonadati; Spirochaetota; Spirochaetia; Treponematales; Treponemataceae. The record is from Rfam by way of RNAcentral.